This is a long non-coding RNA of Gasterosteus aculeatus aculeatus (three-spined stickleback), 11022 nucleotides long. Lineage: Eukaryota; Metazoa; Chordata; Actinopteri; Perciformes; Gasterosteidae. The record is from Ensembl.
GCGGGGUCGAGGGAUUGCUGCGGCUCAGCGGGGUUGGGAGGUCGCUGCGGCCCAGCGCGGAAGUCUGUGCGCUGCGGCCGAUCUGCCAGGAACCCCAGGGAGGACCUUUCCCCCAUUACGGGUGGCCCACGGGAGACUGCAUCGACCGCCCAUAGCCAGACGGGUUCCCCUGAACUCUUCCCGGGGAAAAAACCCUGCUGAGACCUUAAAAGGUUGCGUCAUUGUGUCAGGAAGGUAUGCUGGGGAAAAAGGCAGGAAUCAAACGCAGAGUUUAACAGAGAACAAAAAGGGACUUUAUUAGUCCAAAAACUCCACACACACGAGGUCAGGGAGCAGGAGACAGGAACAUGGACAAGGACACGGACAUGGGCUUCUGACAAGUAACAACAAGGAACAAUGAUGCGACAAGUGACAAGAGACACACAUGGCUUAAAUACACUAGGGAGGUGCAGGUGAUUGGACACAGGUGGAAACAAUCAGACAAUCACAGGGGAUGACCGGACAAGGCAGGAAGUGAAGUUACCCAGGGAGACAAGAAGCAGAAAACUAAAAAAAUAAGACAGGAAAUAAAACCACACCGUGACACCCUUUCUACCCGAGUAGAAAGCGUUGUGAACAACUUCCCGCUCCAAAUUCAGUGACUGGAGUAGCGAGUCAUUUUCAGAAAACUUAAAUCAUCCGUGAAUUAGACUUUUUGUUUUGUAAUUCAGAUGAAUCACAAAAAAUAUAAACAAAUAAAGAAACCCAUUUUCUCUGCUUACAAACAUAAUGUAAUGGAUCUUCUGCUGUUUUUGUGUCCCUGUUGUGACUAAUGGUUUUCCGCCUUCAAACGACCAAUUAAUCUGAAGAGAAGCUGAUAACGUGGGAGACUGAGGGAGUCGGAGAGACUCGUUGUGUUACUGCUACUUAGAGCCACAAGAGACCAGUUAAGUGUGUGUGUGUGUGUGUGUGUGUGCGCGCGCGCAUUCAUGUGUGGCAAUAGUUGACCUAUCCUGUUUGAAGCAGAAACGUAGGGACUCCAGACUUCUAGAAAGGACUGCAGAACACACAUAGACACACGAUGUGGCAUGUUGGCAGUAGUACAGAGGAUUGAGGAUCAGUGUUUGAUCCACACUGACCUUUAGUUUGGAUCAAAGUUACCUCUCCCCUCCUGCUAAUCCAUGUAUGCAUAUCCCUCUUCUCCUCGAUCCAUCAGCAUCCUGCUUAUCUUGCUCUCAUUUCAAUCAGUUCAAUAAAAGAAGACAGUGAUGAUUUAGAUAAUAUAAUGACUUGGCUGAAUUAGCUUUUUCAAAAACAUACAUGGGAAAGUUUCCUCAAAAUGUUUUUGACAUAACAUAUAACGUGUUCUACGAAGCUUCCCAUAUUUCUAUAGUGAGUUAAGCUUAAAAUAAGGACAGCCAGCAUACUGCAACCCUGCCAGAGCUGCAGUGAUAAUGUUCCUCACAGACACUGUGGCAAACCAGGGGAUGUGGAGGCAAGAUUUCCGAAUCAGAUAGACAGACACAUUAGUCCAAUGACAAAAAUGAUCCUUUUAUUUGAUAACGUAGGGGAAAGGGUCUAGGGUCGGAAAACAACAAAAUACUCCUCCCGGUCGGGGUCUUAGAUCCUUAACGAAUUGUCUUGGGGAAACCCAGAGAUAGGGCCCGAAGAGGCAGAAUGCUAGCCCUGGUUUGCCACAGCCCCUUGUUGAUGCAUUUGUUUGUUUUAAAAUAUCACAGAUCACUGAGAAGCUUCACUUUUCUAUGUUCAUUGCUGCAGAGAUAUGUUAUGUCUCCUGUACAUGCAUGUUGGGAUUGAUAACAUUCUAUGUAAUAUUAUAAGUUCAUCAGUCUCAAACCCAAAUUAUUAUUAGUAUAGAUUUUCAGAUGUGUUGAGAAAUGAAAUAAAGUCUAUGUGACCAGAGUUAUUCUGGUUGAACAUGUGUUUCUGAUUGACCCCAGAUGGUCAAUUCUUGUGCAUAUGAAGACCUAGGUCCAGCAUGCCUUCUGUGUGAACAGCAUCAUAUAUGGAUGUAUGUAGGUCUUGCAUGUGUCUGUGUUCUCUCUGAGUAGUCUCUGGACAAAUGGACUUGAACAGAGGUUAACAUCUGUUUAGCUUAGUCUCCAGGAGGCCAGAGAAGCAUCUACAAUGCCAGACAUUUUGUGUCUGUCUCUCUAUAGUACAUAUUAUGCACAAAAGAAACUCACAGCAAGACAGACUUACAGGUGCGCAAACAUGCAAUUUGCACACACAGAGCAGCCUCCAAACAACCCUGUUAGUAAUCAGGGUGUCUCCUUAUUUAGUCUUCUGAGACUUUUGAUUUACUUAAAAUGUGUAUUUUAGAAUUUGGAACAAAAAGCAUUAUUAAAUAACUUAAAUAAUAAUUUGGUGGAUGAUACCUCUUUGACAAAUUCAACGUGCACAGAGAAAACCUGAUAAAUUGCCUGCAGAGGAACAGAGGUGGGUCUUUGGGUGAGUGGACAAACAACGAGGCCAUUACACACUACUGUCUGACGUGUGCCAGCGAUUAAUGAGAAUUAAUGGGAAAUAUAAGUAGCUGCUUUCAGGGAGUCAGUGUAGGAACAACACAUUUUUGUCCAAGGCCCAAACUUCUGUAACAAUCUGCUGUGAGACUAAAGAGGGUCAAUAUCAUUUUUGUUCCAGGUGUAAUAUCUAAUAUAUAACUAUCUUUAGAGUGCAAAUCUAGUGCAGUGGUUCAUGACAUGUUAUGCCCCAGACAGCAGUGGACUCCAGGCCGGAUCCGCAGUCAGCCCGCCAGAUCCAGCCUGGAGUCCGCUCUGGUUUUGGCCAUACGCACCGUAUCCGCCCCGCCUACUAAAAUAUCAUCGUCAAAGGGGGGACCUGCUGAGGACACGAUUUGGGUACAGUUGCAUGUGUCCUAGAUUUCGGCGGCCUGUUACGUGCCUGCAAUAUUUGAAUUGGGGAAAACGCGGCAGGCACAAAACAGGCAGCCUGGAGGAGCGGGUUUCCCCAUGCUUAGUAGAUGUAGGGUCUCUUUGUUGUGCGCAUUGUGCUGUGCUGAAAGAGGAAGGUAAAGUUGCAUGCAGAUCUCAUUGUGUUGUAUGAGUCACUUUGGCUACAGCUAUGCUGUGCGUAGGUAAAGCUAACCCUGGCAAGUACUUUGUGUAAGCUUGUCUUCAAUGUGUACAACAAGCCCAUUUCUGUUUAAUCACAUUUUACUGCACGCCUCUGUUUUCAAGCACUAAGUUAAUUCACAUACUCCUGCCAAUAGAGCAUUGUUAAGUAUUGAUUUCUAAAGUUAAACAGAAAGUUGUAUUUCUGUGACUGACACUGGUCGUUUUUUUCUCUUAAUAAUUCAGGCUGUUCUACUUUAUUGAGUUCAUCAGGAACCAAACCGUAGCAGUGGUGCUACAGAGGUGAUAGAAGAUAGAAUGAUGGUGACUGACUUUGGCCUUGUUACAGGGGGGACAGAAGAGUGGACAGGGCCUCGUUACAGGGGGGGACCGAAGAAUGGAUAGGGCUGUCCAAAAUGCAGAGGAACUGGCCCUAAUUUAUCUUGUUUAUAAUUAUGAGGGGAAAAACAUUUGAAUUUAUUCUGUUAAAUUCUGUUAUUUUGACUUUAGGUCAUUACUUCGAAGUAAGACAAAGGAUGACAAAAUAUACAGUAUUGCACACAUCCACUCUACAGCAGGAAGAGGCAAUUCCUAAUAAAGAGAAAGCCAAAGCCGGUGUGAGUAAGAGCUGCCCUGUGAGGCGGGGGACUUAAAAUCUAAUAAAACAUAAGAUACAUUUAUAAAAAAAAAGAUACCAGCAACGCCAGAAAAGUUGCAGAGUCUAGGUCUCCAUAAAAACAGGUUAUUUUUCACCAGAGGAAGAACAGCAUGGAUCACAAGACUUAAAAGCAUGGUUUAAAAGGAGGAUUUUAUUUUUAACUAAAAACCCAUAAAUAACUACAAUUGUAUUAAAAGUCCAGCUGGAACAAAGUGCUAAAAAAGAUUAAGGCAGUUUGAUGGCAUUUUUUUUUUUAAACAUUCUAUUGCAUAUUAGAUAUAAUAUUACUGUUUUUAAUCUAUUUUAGAGUUCCUCCCUGGAAACCAUCAAAGGACAUGACACAAAUCAUGUCACAUAGGCUGCUCAGUGGGGAUGUUGAGAAGAGCAUUGAAGAACAAUCCGGUACAGAUUCAAGCCGGACAUGGGCCGGAUCUUCAUCUUGGAUGCUGAUGCAUCAAGACUGCCCCAAGCCCAUCUGCAGCCAUAUCAUGUCUCACCGACUGACUUAAGGAGAUAAAGGCAUGGAUGAACAACUUUCUCCAGCUAAACAGUUCCAAAACCGAAGCCCUUUUUGUUGGCACUCCACGCCAGUCAUCCUCCAUCCAAAUGACUGUGCAAACAUCAUUCUAUCAUCUCAAAAGCAUCUUCAAACUCUGCCCCACUUUGACCCCGUCAGAUACAGAGAAGCUUGUCCAUGCCUUUAUCACCUCAAGACUGGACUACUGUUAUUCACUUUCAACUGGAAUCACUGACAAAAAUAUCCUGGAACUACAAUACAUCCAAAAUAGCGCUGCCAGGAUCCUGAUGAGAGUCCAGAAAUAUGAACACAUAGCACUCAUCGUAGGAUGGACACUCACUACACUGGCUGCCUGUCUCCUUCUGGAUUGACAACAAAAUUCUACUACUCAGUCAUGAAUAAAAUGUAUUAUUAUGAGCCCGCCCCGGAUCCUUUUUGCAUAUCAGUUCCGGAGUUUAUGAUACCGCCAGAGCGGCGCGGCUUGCUUUUGCUAUCUGGGGUUUCUUUAAGGAUGUCUUUAAACAGUUUGGGUUGUUUGUAUGUUGUAUGUAUACAAGCAGGGCUGUAGUGGAGGGUAAACACACGUAAACGCUGUUUACGCACCUCUGGAAUUUUGGAAAUAGCGUUUACGCACCUCUAAAUAGCGUUUACCCACCUCUAAGUGGCGUUUACGCACCUCAAAGUUACCUGCGCCUUGUAUUCUUCCGUUGGAAUAAACCGAAAUAAACUUGGUGUAAUUUUAAAACAGCUAAGACUACGUUUCCUAUUGUUGAACAUUUAAACGCCGUAGUCUGAAUCAUUUUCAUCUGCGCUGUAUUACGGUCUGUGAGCAUCCAAUCAGUGCCUUGCGGCUGCAGCAGCGACACCAAUCAGGAUCCAGGAGGUAUGUAAACACAUACACGUUGUGGAUUAGCCCAGUGGUCCCCAACCUUUUUUACCUCACGGACCAGUUUCAUGUCAGACAAUAUUUCGCGGACCGGUCGAGAAGGUCCGACGGGGGGGGGUGUAGUAGUCGUUGCGGGCGGAACGGCCGACGGGGGGGUAGUAGUCGUGCGCUCUGUGUUCGCUGGUCGUGCACGGUAAAAGGACAAGAAAAACGCCAGUGACGCGCGCACAUGAUUAGGAGAAAAUCCGGUCAAUUUUCAAAAUAAAAUAUAUAAGCUUUCUGUGGUGCGGCCCGGUACCAAACAGCCCACGGACCGGUACCGGUCCGGUGGUUGGGGACCACUGGAUUAGCCUGCCUGCCUACCUGUUCGGAAUGGAUUACCGCAAUGGAUAUCAGGCGAUAUUUGAAGAGACCAUCGAGUGCUCCCACUCCCACAGAUGCCCGCAAAAGGCCUCAAGUACAAAGUAAGACUGAAGAAGAUCAAUUCACGUUUUCAAACGUUGUCUUGGUUCGCACAACAUCGCAUUAAGACAGGGACAAACUCUAUUAAUAACGUGCUUUCAAAUACGAUGAUGCAGGUAACAAGCCAGCCUUCCCGGUCCCAUCUAAAUAGGCCUAAUAAAAUGAGUAAUUGUCCUCAUGCAUAUUGCUGCAGAUUAGGCUAAUUCAUUGAAAAAUUGUCGACAGAUUAUGUGCAAGACAGUUAGACAUAGCUAAGAGAAAUGCUAAGUGAAAUGUUUUAGUUUAGCUAUAGAAUCUUCCAUUUUCGCGGUCAAGGACAAAUAUAUUAGUUUUUUACUUUCAUGAUGACAGCCUGCUCUCGCAUAAAAAACGUGAGCGGGGAGCAAAACUGUUGCUUCACUGAAUAGGCCUAUAUGCUUAAUCAAUUAUUUGAAGUCAUGAAAGGUGUAGAGUAGCCUGUAAGCGAAAUAGACUGUAAACAUAGAUUAGAAAACAAGUCAGUUCUCAAUGUGAAAAAAAAACAUGCUGUAUAGGCUAUUUACGAUGACAUAGGUAGUACAUGAGUGUUCCUUUAACUUAUGUUGUCAGUGUUAUUGACAGGCUGCUUAACUGGUGUUCUCAGCCCCACAACUCUUAAAUUCAACAAAUUUUUUCAGGCAGUGAUAGGACAGGUAAUGAUGCAGAGAGCACAGGGAGAGGAGAAACACCAGGUCGAAUAGAGAGAGGAGAAGCACAGAGGAGCCAUGAACCCCGGCUCCUCUGUGCAAGGCAGGACCUGACGUGGAGGACAAGGAGGCCCUCUGGGCACUACUGUAAAAGGGAGACUCCAUAUGUAGAUAGUUCUUAAUCUGCAAUUGUCUUGUUGUGUUGUGUUGACAUACUUUUCUUUACUGUUUUCUUAAAUUUAAUAAACUACAAACUACUAACACAUUUAUUCACUGUCAUUGAUUGUAUAUGACUUUUACUGAUAACAUAAUGCAAUAUAGCCAGGACAACCUUACAGAGUCGCGACGCUUUGUGUUGCGUUGCUUCGCAUCGCGUCGAGGUCUGUAUGAUCACAAAAGUUUACCCACCUCUAAUUUUACCACUACAGCACUGUAUACAAGUUAUACUAGGGAUACCAAAACGGUGGACCCUGGUUUGGGCGAAAAGAUAUGUUCUUUUUUCCUUUUCUUAAAAUAAAGAAACGUUUAGUUCUGAUAUAAUUGAUUCUAAUCUCUUAAAGAGCCGAGAUUGAAAUUAUUCCCCAUCCAGUCGUGUGACGGACACCUAAUCCAUCUAUUUUCAUAUGAAAUCGCAACAUUUUGGCUGCCACAAUCGGUUACCAGUUUUAACCAAAAUGCAUCUUCAAAUGCUAAAACAUAACAUUCAGUGGACAGAACAAACAGUCUAAAUCACAUAUGUCAAACUCGCGAACUUCUGACAGACAAGAGGCUGGUUGUCUUUUUUUUAUAUCAAUUUGUUUUGCACCACACCCUCGUCGGCUGUACCGUUUGCGCCACUGCCACCCCCCGUUGUAACUUCCCCCACAAAGAAAGAGGUUGGAUUAAAUAAACCUUUAAUCAGUGUUGAGGCAAAGUUUUUAAUUGUGCACCCUAUAACAAAGAGUAGCCUGUGGCGAAGAUAGAUAGAUGCAGUGAGAUAGAGGGAGCCAGUGAGACAGAGAGGAAGAAUACUGUUUCCUCUGUCUCAUCCACAUUUUGACAUGAAUCAGGCUUGGUGGCGGAGAUGAUUUUUUUCUGAGCCAGGGGUCGGGGUGCUGUGGUGGCUGGACGGACACCAAGAUAAGUGUCAUGUUGAUGUUUAUUAUGCACAUUCCUAAAUAAAUGUAGUUAAGUUAAUAAUUACUGUCAGUCCUUCCCUGUCAUUUCCACCCCUCACUCCACCUAAUCAGUUCAUUCUGUAGACCUGCUAGUCACAUUCACCCUGUCAGCCCAAUCACUUACCUGUCUACUCUACUCACUCCCUUCAGUAUCUAAACCCCACUCACUCACUCGCUGCCAGAUCGUUCUCUGCACUUAUGCCAGACCUUCCUGCAUUUUCUCUUGGACAUAGUUCCCAGCGGUGUUGGCCCUGCCUGUCUUGGACUACCCCUUCUUGCGCCUGCCCUGGUAAUUCCCCCAGUCUUCUGUCCCCGACCACGUCUUUUCCUGGUGACUGUUUGGUUGCAUUGAGGAAAAUAAAAUACUCUGUUGGGAACUACAACUGCUGUCUGCCAUAUUGCAUCUGGGUUCGUUCUUCACCAGUUAUAAAUUACAGCGCUAAACUACACUUAACAGUCCCUGUAAUAAAGUAAAAUUAUAAAUGCAAAAUAUUAUACAUUUAAAAUACGCACUGCUGAAAGUUUGUAACCCGGCUGGCAUGUUUAACUCGGUCGACUCAAAACCAAGCACAUCACACCGGCCAGAAGAAACACUCACCAUGUCUCACAACACACAAAUUGUCAAACGACAACCUAUUUCUUGCCUCAAAUAUAUAAAAUAUAUUUUAGGAUACUAUUGAUGUUAAAUUGGUCAUCCGGUCUCCCUUAGGUUGGCCAAAACAGAGCACCUGCCUGGGAAUUCCCUUUUUCCUCUUGACUUAAUUACUACAAUUUCUUCUUAACUUCCCUGGAGUCAACAAGCGAUUAGCGCUUCUCGACAACACUGCAGGCAGCACCUCUGGUGGCCAAGGGAUAAGCUCGCACAGAGCGGCCAGGCAUUCCUAAUGGGCACUACAAUGCUGGAGUAGUUACUAGUAACACAGCCUGGUUGUUAUUAGUUCUGAGAAAUCAAUCCGGACUCACAUUUUAAGCACAAGAUGCAUCUUUAAUUGCACAUGUGUGCUGGGGACUAGAGGUGGAUACCCGACCCGAGCCCGUCGGUACCCGUCGGGACCCGAUGGGUUGGGCCGGGUCCGGAUAAAUAUUUAGAAAAUAUAGUCUGGCUCGGACACAUCAGCGCGAUAAGACAUUGAACAUUCCAUAUUUAAAAUAUCUUAAUAAGUAGUGAAGUCAACAUCUGCUUCCCAUGAUGUAGAACCUCGGUUCCCAAACAGCGCUUGUUUGUUUGAGCGAGUAUAUUUAUCUGUUGAUGCCGGAGUUUAAUAAAGGCAAGCUAUUUAUAAAAAAAAAACGUUUGUGAAUGUGUCAUUAUUAUGAACAGUUGAGGCAUCGACUCCGUCGGGCUCAGGUCGUUUUCGGACAAAAUAGUUUAAAGGCUGUCGGACUCGGGUCGGACUCGGGCCCAACUCUGUGGGACGCGGGCCGGGCACGGACAGAAAAAGUCGGCCCGAUCCAUGCUCUACCCGAGACUGAUGUACUUUGGCCACAUUGUAGUGUGAAAAAACUAAAACAUAAAAAGAAAUAAAAACCUCAUGAAUAAUUCAGGUCACCUCUUCAUGUUAUCUUCGUAAAAGUAGCUUACAAAGAUAUUGUGACUAGAUUUAAGUCAUAAUUCCAUCAUCCCUGUUUAAAAUUCAAUGAGCUUCAAAAGUCUUGUAAAUUAUUUUUAGUUGUUUAUAAGAAAACAUCAUGCUCCUUUUAAAUUGGUUAAGCUCUGUGUCCAACUUUAAUCCCACAGCUUCCUUUUCCUUCCUUUCUUUCUAUUAUUUUAAAAGAAAAUGCAAAGCUGUUCUACUUGGCCCGUGGGGGAAGGACAUCUGUCUUGGAAAAAUAUCCCCAAAUGAAUCCCGACUGAGGUGUUCAAGAUGUAAAAACAUUUUGACUGUAUACCGAUUUUUAUCUUGCUGGGGAACGUAGUCCCUUGAUUACACAAUAUAUACAUAUAGUGUAAUCAAGGGACUGGCAAACCAGGGGACAAAGGUGACUACACAGCACAGGGGGCGGAUCCCCAGGCACAGGUUGGGGGAGGGGAUGGAGAGAGUCUUCUCUCCUGUGCAGGUGCUGUAACCACUCGGCACCUGGCACUGGUGACACCUGCAGCUAAUUAAAGUGAGCGUUUGUUCACUGAACUGGGAAGCAGAACCUCUCGAGAGGAGCUGUGUCGGAUGGGAAGUAUUCCAGCGGGCUCACCUCUCUCUUCGGCUCUCCCCACACAGGGGGUAGACAUUGAUGCCAAAAGUUUUUUUUUUUUUUUUAUAGUUUGACACCAUCCCCCUUCACCCACUUAGAGGAUUCCUUUUGUGCCUUGAUUACUGAAUCUUGCCUCCAUGCCCUGGGCCGCUACGGUAUGCAAGGCAAGACACAAUAGCACCAUUGGUAAACUGUCUGAGCUAUGCAGAAUUUGGGCUCUGUUGUGUGAUUGAUCCAAUGUGGCAACAACAAUGAUGACCAGUGCUUCAAAGUGACAGGGACAGCCAAUGUGUUGCCAGCCCUUAGGUCUCUGAGACACACUCUGCGGCUGAGCAAAGGGACCGAGGACCAAACAGAAACACACGAGUGUUUGUGCUGUGUUUUUUUCCUUGAAAAAGGUCCAUCAUUUCAUUUGCACUUAUAUAGCUAUAUAAGUGCAAAUGAAAAACUAUAGUUUAAAAUUGUGUCUGUAGGGGGGAACAUUUACUCUUCAAGAAUCGUGGCACACGGCGCAUCAUUGCUUUCCACUUUUUGUGAAAUGACAAAAAAAAAAAAAAUGUUUUCAUUCUUGAACCCUGCAUUGACGUAUUGUGUCUUUAUACAUAGUCAGAUAUUUGCAUGGAUCAUUUUAUUAUUUGUAUUUGAUCAAAAUCAAGCUGAAAUUUAGGUUUUGACCAGAAAACAAGUUUACCUCUUCUCUAAUUACUUCAGUAAAUGCAUUUUAUUAGCUUGCAAAGCUCCUUCUGCUGAACUACAGCUACCAGCUGCUGGUGACUGAUGUGGAGCCGGAUGCCACCUACAUGACGGGCUCGUUCCACCAAUCACUGGCAACAGAUUUUCAUUCAGAAAGAUUUUUCACUCAUAACACACUGACCUAAAAAGUACUAGCAACAGGGAGAUUUAUGAACUUUCAAAGUUUGAACUAAUUUUUACAAACAGUAUUUUAUUAUAGAAUAAGAUUUGUUAUUACAUUACAGGUUAUUUAGCUGACGCUUUUUAUCCAAAACGACUUCCAUUACAUUUUUAACUCGCGUGCACCACAACUAUAAAAAGCCAUUAUCAAUGGAGCGCAGAUAUUACGAGUCACCAUGGCAACAGCGCCAGACAAAAAGAGGUCUUCAUAUUUUUCACCAGCAGAACUGGAUGUGCUUAUGCAAGCAUAUGGAGAGUACGAACAUAUAUUUUAAAAAAAAAGCAACACGGCUGCAGCGGCGAAGGACAGAGAGUUAGCUUGGGAGAAAAUAGCUGCUCGAGUCAAUGCGUAAGUUUACAUUUGAAUUACUGUUAUACAGUGUUGUGUGUAAUUAAUUUCUAUGUAAUCUAAAAACUGUAAUUUAAUUCCGUAAUUUAAAGUAAAAUCUGAUGUAAUUGCAUUAAAUGCUGCAUAAACUAUAAAGCAAUUCUGUAUAAAAC